Molecule: ribosomal RNA, 253 nt
Filed under: uncultured bacterium
Lineage: Bacteria
Description: partial 16S ribosomal RNA
Rfam family: Bacterial small subunit ribosomal RNA
Source: RNAcentral
UACGGAGGGGGCUAGCGUUGUCCGGAUUUACUGGGCGUAAAGCGUGUGUAGGCGGACCUUUAAGUAGAAAGUGAAAGGUUGGUGCUCAACACCAACACUGCUCUCUAUACUGGAGGUCUUGAGUGUCGGAGAGGAAGAUGGAAUUGCACGUGUAGCGGUGAAAUGCGUUGAGAUGUGCAGGAACACCAAUGGCGAAGGCAAUCUUCUGGACGAAAACUGACGCUGAGACACGAAAGCCAAGGUAGCAAACAGG